GGGGGAUAUUGCACAAUGGAGGAAACUCUGAUGCAGCAACGCCGCGUGAGGGAAGACGGUUUUCGGAUUGUAAACCUCUGUCCUCGGUGACGAUAAUGACGGUAGCCGAGGAGGAAGCUCCGGCUAACUACGUGCCAGCAGCCGCGGUAAUACGUAGGGAGCAAGCGUUGUCCGGAUUUACUGGGUGUAAAGGGUGCGUAGGCGGCUCUGCAAGUCAGGUGUGAAAACUAUGGGCUUAACGCAUAGAUUGCACUUGAAACUGUGGAGCUUGAGUGAAGUAGAGGCAGGCGGAAUUCCCGGUGUAGCGGUGAAAUGCGUAGAGAUCGGGAGGAACACCAGUGGCGAAGGCGGCCUGCUGGGCUUUAACUGACGCUGAGGCACGAAAGCAUGGGUAGCAAAC
This 400-nucleotide ribosomal RNA is filed under the name uncultured bacterium. Its description in RNAcentral is "bacterial SSU rRNA". It matches the Rfam family "Bacterial small subunit ribosomal RNA", at positions 356 to 773 of the family's 1533-position model. The record is from RNAcentral.